This 532-nucleotide ribosomal RNA is filed under the name Trichoderma strictipile. RNAcentral's name for it is "eukaryotic LSU rRNA". It matches the Rfam family "Eukaryotic large subunit ribosomal RNA", at positions 117 to 671 of the family's 3401-position model. Lineage: Eukaryota; Fungi; Ascomycota; Sordariomycetes; Hypocreales; Hypocreaceae. The record is from RNAcentral.
GAAAUCUGGCCCCUCGGGGUCCGAGUUGUAAUUUGUAGAGGAUGCUUUUGGUGAGGUGCCGCCCGAGUUCCCUGGAACGGGACGCCACAGAGGGUGAGAGCCCCGUCUGGCUGGCCGCCGAGCCUCUGUAAAGCUCCUUCGACGAGUCGAGUAGUUUGGGAAUGCUGCUCAAAAUGGGAGGUAUAUGUCUUCUAAAGCUAAAUAUUGGCCAGAGACCGAUAGCGCACAAGUAGAGUGAUCGAAAGAUGAAAAGCACCUUGAAAAGAGGGUUAAAUAGUACGUGAAAUUGUUGAAAGGGAAGCGCUUGUGACCAGACUUGGGCGCGGCGGAUCAUCCGGGGUUCUCUCCGGUGCACUUCGCCGCGCCUGGGCCAGCAUCAGUUCGCCGCGGGGGAAAAAGGCUUCGGGAACGUGGCUCCCCCGGGAGUGUUAUAGCCCGUUGCACAAUACCCUGCGGUGGACUGAGGACCGCGCAUCUGCAAGGAUGCUGGCGUAAUGGUCACCAGCGACCCGUCUUGAAACACGGACCAAGG